CACUCCUACGGGAGGCAGCAGUGGGGAAUAUUGCACAAUGGGCGCAAGCCUGAUGCAGCCAUGCCGCGUGUAUGAAGAAGGCCUUCGGGUUGUAAAGUACUUUCAGCGGGGAGGAAGGCGAUAAGGUUAAUAACCUUGUUGAUUGACGUUACCCGCAGAAGAAGCACCGGCUAACUCCGUGCCAGCAGCCGCGGUAAUACGGAGGGUGCAAGCGUUAAUCGGAAUUACUGGGCGUAAAGCGCACGCAGGCGGUCUGUUAAGUCGGAUGUGAAAUCCCCGGGCUCAACCUGGGAACUGCAUUCGAAACUGGCAGGCUAGAGUCUUGUAGAGGGGGGUAGAAUUCCAGGUGUAGCGGUGAAAUGCGUAGAGAUCUGGAGGAAUACCGGUGGCGAAGGCGGCCCCCUGGACAAAGACUGACGCUCAGGUGCGAAAGCGUGGGGAGCAAACAGGAUUAGAAACCCCAGUAGUCCCAUGA
This 475-nucleotide ribosomal RNA is filed under the name uncultured organism. Its description in RNAcentral is "partial 16S ribosomal RNA". It matches the Rfam family "Bacterial small subunit ribosomal RNA", at positions 334 to 800 of the family's 1533-position model. The record is from RNAcentral.